Molecule: non-coding RNA, 297 nt
Organism: Vicia faba (fava bean)
Lineage: Eukaryota; Viridiplantae; Streptophyta; Magnoliopsida; Fabales; Fabaceae
Source: the annotation of a GenBank genome assembly
AUGCGUUGGUUGAUCCGGAGACAUGGCCACUACUGGCCUACGGUCCUGUCAGAUUGCAUAGCACAUGCUAAGAGCUGCGAUGCCUGCCAGAGGUAUAGACUCAGCGCAAGCCGGCUUCCGAGUUAUACCCGAUUAUCAAGCCUUGGCCAUUUCGAGGUUGGGCCCAGGAAUAGUGAGUUGAUAUUCGCUGAUAUGCUUAGCGAGAAUACUUCGCAGCCGCAAUACCAAGAUGGGCUCAGAUUUUGUGAACCAGAACUCUGCUGUACAACUAGCUGCUGCGAUCACAGCCUCAGCUAG